CCUGAAGCGUCAGAGGUGAACGGAUGAAAGUCUCUCUUCUCUCGUCUGUGGAUUUUCAUCUGGAGAAUGUCUGUGGGAAUUAUGUCUGGACAGAAGCUGAAUGUGCUGCGGCUGAUCAUGAUGAUCCUCUGCUGUCUCACUGGACGGAUAAUCACCCGUAACACUGUCCCAGACAAAAUCCAAGUUAAUUUGACAAGUCAGUGUUUGUGGAACUCAACAAGUCUAGCUGUCAAUCUGAAAAACAUACCAAACAAGAAUAUCACACUAAAUAUCUUCUUGUCCUACUGUAACAAAUCAAAAUUGUUUUUCCAAAACAUUCAGUUUCAACCUAUCACAAGAUGACAACAACAAAUAUAAAAUUGGAAUGAAUGAGAUAGCUGAAGAUAUAAAUGUGCGUCUUUUCCCAGCUUCAUGUCCAUGUGUACUAAGUCCAAAUUCAGAAUCCAAAUCAGAUUACAUAUUGACUUGCCUAAACGAUAUCUUGAGCACAUGUAAAGUGACAUCAAAUGCCCCAGAUUGUUGGAAAUCUGUUGAUCCUCGAGAGUUAUGUACAAAAGCUCCAUAUGCAAAAUCUUCCUGUGAAAAACAAAGCAGAUACAAUUUGAGUUUUAGAGAUGACCGUGAUAAAAAAUGGAAGUGUGUGGACUGUGGCAAUAAACCAACCGUUGAUUGUAGUAAUAAAACUGCCUGUGCGAAACCACCUGAAUCAAAUGUAACUUUACCUCCAAUUGACAAGAAUGGACAAGUGGAACCUUCACAUGCAUCAGCAACCUUAGACAAUCUGACGUCACAGGUGGAAUGGAUGAAAAAAAAUAAUAAAACCAGUGUGGGAAUUUUCAUGGGUGAUGCUAUCGGUGUUAUCCAAAUACAAGAUGAGAACAGUGAGACUACAGAUUCCUGCUUCUCUUCAGAUCAGAAAUUGAUGAAAAUUGUUGACUGUCUAAGUAACAUGAGCACAGACUUUCCCUGGUCUAUAAUGAUUCCCAGUGAGGCUUUUGAUAAUGCACGUCUGGAAAACAAUGGAAGUACAUUUGUUGGAAUUUUACAGUUUAAAAAUAUGGGG
Danio aesculapii is the source of this 1063-nucleotide long non-coding RNA. RefSeq lists it as uncharacterized. The record is from RefSeq and is a predicted model, not a curated record. Lineage: Eukaryota; Metazoa; Chordata; Actinopteri; Cypriniformes; Danionidae. The transcript is spliced from 9 exons.